UGGCUCAGAUGGUAAAGCAUCUGUCUGUAAUGCGGAAGACCUGGGUUCGAUUCCUGG
This 57-nucleotide transfer RNA is filed under the name Bos taurus (domestic cattle). It matches the Rfam family "tRNA", at positions 8 to 63 of the family's 71-position model. Rfam says of the family: Transfer RNA (tRNA) molecules are approximately 80 nucleotides in length. Their secondary structure includes four short double-helical elements and three loops (D, anti-codon, and T loops). Lineage: Eukaryota; Metazoa; Chordata; Mammalia; Artiodactyla; Bovidae. RNAcentral also lists the same sequence under 1 other name. The record is from Rfam by way of RNAcentral.